CAACUCUACUCUCUCCCUCACCCUCCUCCCCGACGGCCUCUCUCCUCUCCCCGCCGCCGCACUCUCUCUCCCACCUCUCUGCCUCUCUGCCGCCACCCCCUCCUCUUCUCCCACUUCGUCUGCCUCUGCCGCCCUGACUGCUCCCGCGGGAUCCAGAUCCGUCACGGGGGGCAGCGGCGCCCCAUUCCUCCGCUCGGAUCUACCACGGAGCUCCACCAUGCAUGCCGCCCCUCGUCCGCCCGACCUCACCCUAGCGCUCCUCAACUAGGUCCCAGGCGUCACCGCCUAAGACCUCCUGCACCACCCAGAGCUUGGACGCCGAUGCAGCACGGUCCGGCCGACGCCGGUGCUUGGGCGGGCACAACAGCCCAGCUCAGACGCAGCAUGGGCUGCUGCAGCAUGGAGCAGCAAGCAGAAGGCCACGGGGGCGCGUCGCGGUGGGUCGGUCCCGGCCGAUGGCGAGAGGGCGGCGCGUCCUUUGGCUCCGUCUGUUGUUCUUGCAGUGUUGAUCGAUCAGUGCCAUGUGCAAGAAACAGAUAGCAAGUGAUUUCCCCCAAAUUCCCAGCCCGCAAUCAGACCACAAGUGCUUCCUCAUGAGUCAUAAUCCACAUCCCCUAUCUCUCCAUUAUUAUUUUGCCACGAGAUCUGCUCAUAUCACUUUUUAUCAGAAAUGUGCAUUGUAGGUCUGGAUCCAUGUACUGCUCCAUUCCUCAUCCCUGAAAUUUUUGUGUUGCUGCUAUAGUAACGAGAAAUAAUCCCCUU
Molecule: long non-coding RNA, 762 nt
Organism: Panicum virgatum (switchgrass)
Lineage: Eukaryota; Viridiplantae; Streptophyta; Magnoliopsida; Poales; Poaceae
Exons: 3
Source: RefSeq, a predicted model, not a curated record